This is a long non-coding RNA of Sapajus apella (tufted capuchin), 867 nucleotides long. RefSeq lists it as uncharacterized. NCBI's taxonomy places the organism in Eukaryota, Metazoa, Chordata, Mammalia, Primates, Cebidae. The transcript is spliced from 4 exons. The record is from RefSeq and is a predicted model, not a curated record.
CUCCAACCACUAUGCCGGGUGCGCCCACCUCAUCCUAAAGCGAUGGGGAAAGAACCUGCAGUUAGAGACCUGCUGAAAAAGCCCAGAGCUCUCCUCUGGGGCCUUCCAAGGCCUCGCCCUUUCGGUCUGGACUCCGCCCCCUCUACUCGAGCCCCGCCCCCGCCACCAGGGCCCCGCCCCCUCCACCCGUCCCCGCCCACCUCAUCCCAGGCCAGACUCACUAACAGCAAGGGAUGUGCCCUGUCCGCCCCUUGGGGGAAGGCGCAGUCCCCGAGACGGGCGGUGACCUCCGCCCCGAUUUGGGGAACCCCCAAGAGCGUCUGACCGAGGCUUAGCGGUAGAAUAAAGAAGAGAGCUCACAGACUUGAACUGACAAGCCAUCAAGAGAAAAAGCUGUAAACAUAUUGAGGUGAAGAGGAUGUUGGAAAACAAUCCCAAAUACAGGUCUGAAGACUCAUCCCAGUGAUAGUGAUGGCCUCCAAAAGCAUCCUCCACAGCAAAAUCCAACAAGCUGAAAACUUUAAUCAACAAUGAUACCAAGUAAGUACAUUUCCCCAGUUCAAUGGCUCUCCAAUCUAGUCCAUGAGACCUCCCCAGGGGAUGUGGAGAAGCUUUCAAUGGAUCUGUGUGUUCAAAACGAUUCUAAUAACAAUACUAAGACCUUAUUUGCCUUUUUCAUGGUGCUAACAUUUGUAUUGAUGAUUCUAAAGAAAUGGUGGGUAAAGCUGCUGUCACUUUCACACAAAUCAAGACAGUGGCACCAAAUAGAAGUGGCAGUCAUUGUAUUCAAGCUACCACGCCAGGCUAAUUUUUGUAUUUUUUUGUAGAGAUGAGGUUUCACCAUGUUGGUCAGACUGGUCUCUAACU